GAGUUUGAUCCUGGCUCAGAACGAACGCUGGCAGCGUGGAUUAGGCAUGCAAGUCGAACGAGACGCUUUUCAAUCAAUCCUUCGGGAGAGACUGAAGAGUUGAGAGUGGCGGAAGGGUGAGUAACGCGUGGGUAAUCUACCCUUAAGUUGGGGAUAACGUUUGGAAACGAACGCUAAUACCGAAUAUGGUUCCUGGUCGCAUGGCUGGGAUACUAAAGGUGGGGAUUCUUCGGAACCUGCCGCUUUUGGAGGAACCCGCGUAUGAUUAGCUUGUUGGUGAGGUAACGGCUCACCAAGGCUCCGAUCAUUAGCUGGUCUGAGAGGAUGGUCAGCCACACUGGGACUGAGACACUGCCCAGACUCCUACGGGAGGCUGCAGUCGAGAAUCAUUCGCAAUGCGCGAAAGCGUGACGAUGCGACGCUGCGUGGAGGAUGACGGCCUUAGGGUUGUAAACUCCUGUCAUGAGGGAAAAGUUGUCUUGUGGUUAAUAACUGCAAGGCUCGAUGGUACCUCAAGANGAAGCCACGGCUAACUCUGUGCCAGCAGCCGCGGUAAUACAGAGGUGGCGAGCGUUGUUCNGAUUUACUGGGCGUAAAGGGUGCGUANGUGGNUUGGGUAGUCGGAUGUGA
RNAcentral lists this ribosomal RNA (630 nucleotides) under uncultured bacterium. Its description in RNAcentral is "bacterial SSU rRNA". It matches the Rfam family "Bacterial small subunit ribosomal RNA", at positions 9 to 597 of the family's 1533-position model. The record is from RNAcentral.